UCGUAAGGACGACCUUACGCCAAUACGACGAACGGGGACGGCCCC
RNAcentral lists this non-coding RNA (45 nucleotides) under Burkholderia sp. RNAcentral describes it as "Guanidine-II sequence". It matches the Rfam family "Guanidine-II riboswitch aptamer (mini-ykkC)". From Rfam's summary of the family: Simpler in structure and has fewer highly conserved nucleotide positions than the ykkC-yxkD leader. Despite this each of its two stem-loop structures directly bind free guanidine. Therefore, mini-ykkC RNA motif represents a distinct class of guanidine-sensing RNAs. The record is from RNAcentral. RNAcentral also lists the same sequence under 1 other name. Lineage: Bacteria; Pseudomonadati; Pseudomonadota; Betaproteobacteria; Burkholderiales; Burkholderiaceae.